This 465-nucleotide ribosomal RNA is filed under the name uncultured bacterium. Its description in RNAcentral is "bacterial SSU rRNA". It matches the Rfam family "Bacterial small subunit ribosomal RNA", at positions 338 to 795 of the family's 1533-position model. The record is from RNAcentral.
CCUANGGGUGGCAGCAGUGGGGAAUUUUGGACAAUGGGGGCAACCCUGAUCCAGCCAUGCCGCGUGAGUGAAGAAGGCCUUCGGGUUGUAAAGCUCUUUCGGACGGGACGAAAUGGUUACGGUGAAUAACUGUGACUGAUGACGGUACCGUAAUAAGAAGCACCGGCUAACUACGUGCCAGCAGCCGCGGUAAUACGUAGGGUGCGAGCGUUAAUCGGAAUUACUGGGCGUAAAGCGUGCGCAGGCGGUUCGCCAAGUCAGGUGUGAAAUCCCCGGGCUUAACUCCGGAACUGCCAUUGAUACUGUAAGUCUCGAGUUUGGAAGAGGUUGAUGGAAUAUCUGGUGUAGCAGUGAAAUGCGUAGAUAUCAGAUAGAACACCAAUGGCGAAGGCAGUCAACUGGUCCAACACUGACGCUAAAGCACGAAAGUGUGGGUAGCAAACAGGAUUAGAUACCCUUNUANUC